Molecule: long non-coding RNA, 571 nt
Organism: Panthera uncia (snow leopard)
Lineage: Eukaryota; Metazoa; Chordata; Mammalia; Carnivora; Felidae
Exons: 2
Source: RefSeq, a predicted model, not a curated record
UCCUGAAUUGGUCUAAUGUUCUUAAUGUUUUCUCCUCUUUUUGAUAUACUUUUGGGAAAUACUCUCUCAUUUAUUUCCCAUACCUUCUAUUGAAUGUUUCUAUGAUGUUACCAUGUUUUUAUGUUUGGAGAACCACUUUAUGUUUCCAGUUUGGAGGGUGUUGCAGUAAUCCAGGCAGUAGUUGGGAGUGUCUGGGAACAGGGUGGUAGCAAUGACAAUGAUGAAAUGAAAUCAUAUCUGCAUGUAUUUUGGAAUGUAGAACCAUGAGGAUUUAUGAUGUACUUGGUGUGGAAUGUGAGCAAAAGGAGUUAAGGAUAGCCCAACCAGCAGAUGGGUCUCCAUCAUGUGAGAGAGGGGAGAGUGUGGGCACAGUAGGUCUACCUUUAGAGUUCCAGUAUGAAGUCAUCUAGAGUGAAGUUAUUUGUUUACAAAAGGGCAAUCAGGGUGAGCUCAAGGAAUAUUCAGUUUGUCCAGGCAAGUUAAAGGUACAGUUAAGUUUCAGGAAUUAACUAACCUCAACCUAUUUCAACCUUUUGACAUUCAAUGAAGAUUUUUUCCCAAGCCUCGUAUG